UUUAGUUCCACAUCGACUGUUUAGUUUCAUUUUGUUAUGUUUAUAUAAUACAGCUACUCACCCUUACUUCGUCCCUUCGGGGACAUCCGAUAAAAUUGGAACGAUACAGAGAAGAUUAGCAUGGCCCCUGCGCAAGGAUGACACGCACAAAUCGAGAAAUGGUACGUGGUGUUCAUCAUACGAGAAAUGGUCCAAAUUUUUUUGACUUUUUUUUUCAAUCUUCUCCGUUAGGGUUUCGUUUUCCACUGUUAUUUUGCGUUUAGGUUUUGUUCGUUUUGUCUUUGAUUUUGCGUUUAGGGUUUUGUUUUCCUUUCAAUGCAGGUACGUGGUGUUCAUCAUACUUGAACCAAAUUUAUACACCAUUGAUGCCUGAAGUAAUAUGCAAGAAAACAUGUUCCGUGCAAGGAAUUGUCAGACCACCCAUUCGAUGAUCAUAUCCGAAUUCUUCCUCUGCUUCACUCAACAAGUUUUGAAAUGAAGGUUGGUUCAAGUAUGAUGUGGGGAUCACAAACCUCUUCAUUUCCUCACCAACGUACACCGCAAGAUACCCCUUUGGCACAUUUGUCACUUUUGAUGAUGUUUGGCUAUUGCUAAAUGAAGCCCGUCUAAUAGCUGCCGGUAAACGGAAACCCAUUUCAAAUGUUUUGAAGAACAACUCUCAAACUUUAAGGAGAAAAAAGGUAUCUAUCUUUUGAUGCUUGAGUAAGUCAGUGAUUUGUGAUGGAUUUGAAGCAAACUAGUGUAUCUUUAUAGUCUUCAUUCAAGAGUUUCUUCAAAUCCACUUUGUUGAGAAAUUAAUUAUUGUUAAACAAUGGGGUCCAUGAGAUGACAGAUCCACAUGGUGUUGUCUUUGAAUGUCUCUUCCAUCAAGUUCCAUUAGAGUGCAUACCUUCUCAACGAAAGGCUGGCAGAUUUACCACUUGGAACUCAAAUGGCUACUCAUAUUUUUGCAGACAUGUCACAUGUUCUCUUCAUAUCGAUAACGCGGUUCAAUGCCACCGAUAAUUUCCCUUGUUAGCGUGUAUCAUAAUUGUUAGUUGGCUACAAAUCAUUAAUAUUAGGAGGCUACAGGGAACACAUAUAGAGGGCAUGGUCGGUCAUUACUCAUGCUGACCAGAAGAGAAGAUAGAUAUCAAUUGAACAACACUUCAAAAGAGAUAAGUAUAUGUUUGGACCCACAACAACUACCAGUAACAAAAAUAUGCUAUUCUGAAUAUUCAAUUUUAAGUCAACAGUCCUCUAUAUAUUUGCAGUCUUUUGAAUAUGUCUAGCAGCAAAUGCUCCGUCCAAUGGUUUGUUUUCUGCAUAUAAGAAUAACUAGCUAGUAGAACCUUAAUUCAUGAAACUCUGUUGUUGCUAAGACUGAUUAACUAGUACGAUAAUGCCCACUGUUUUUUCUAACUCAAGUAUCAUAGCCAUGAAUAAUAAGUGCCAAACUAUCAGAGUUGUUGACUUUUGUAUCAACUGAUAUGAGUUUCUAGCGUCUAGAAUUUCCUAUUGAGAUGGGGUAAUAUUUGAUACUUGAAAUUAAUGUUAUACUACUAUUCUUUUUGUAGAUUAUUCAUAGACUUUUGAUAAUCUUUUGAUUAGGAAUAUACCAAAUGCAGGCAAUUCAUGAUAAUCUUUUGAUUAGGAAUAUACAUAAUAAUAUACACUUUUAUGAAUG
RNA transcript from Lathyrus oleraceus (garden pea), 1666 nucleotides. RefSeq lists it as uncharacterized. The transcript is spliced from 3 exons. NCBI's taxonomy places the organism in Eukaryota, Viridiplantae, Streptophyta, Magnoliopsida, Fabales, Fabaceae. The record is from RefSeq and is a predicted model, not a curated record.